This 376-nucleotide ribosomal RNA is filed under the name uncultured bacterium. RNAcentral's name for it is "bacterial SSU rRNA". It matches the Rfam family "Bacterial small subunit ribosomal RNA", at positions 29 to 392 of the family's 1533-position model. The record is from RNAcentral.
AAUCAACGCUGGCGGCGUGCCUAACACAUGCAAGUCGAGCGCGAAAGCGGGGUAACUCGCAAGUAGAGCGGCGAACGGGUGAGUAACGCGUGGGUGAUCUACCUCCGAGUGGGGAAUAACACCGGGAAACUGGUGCUAAUACCGCAUGACAUCCUCGGAUCACACUGGGGAUCAAAGCCGGGGACCGCAAGGCCUGGCGCUUGGAGAGGAGCCCCGCGUCCGAUUAGCAGGUUGGCGGGGUAACGGCCCACCAAGGCGACGACCGGUAGCCGGCCUGAGAGGGCGGACGGGCCACACUGGGACUGAGACACGGCCCAGACUCCUACGGGAGGCAGCAGUGGGGAAUUUUUCGCAAUGGGCGCAAGCCUGACGAAGC